UGUUACUUGACCUUUUUCCCU
RNAcentral lists this non-coding RNA (21 nucleotides) under Mus musculus (house mouse). The record is from RNAcentral. Lineage: Eukaryota; Metazoa; Chordata; Mammalia; Rodentia; Muridae.